This 465-nucleotide ribosomal RNA is filed under the name uncultured Klebsiella sp. RNAcentral's name for it is "bacterial SSU rRNA". It matches the Rfam family "Bacterial small subunit ribosomal RNA", at positions 338 to 795 of the family's 1533-position model. Lineage: Bacteria; Pseudomonadati; Pseudomonadota; Gammaproteobacteria; Enterobacterales; Enterobacteriaceae. The record is from RNAcentral.
CCUACGGGUGGCUGCAGUGGGGAAUAUUGCACAAUGGGCGCAAGCCUGAUGCAGCCAUGCCGCGUGUGUGAAGAAGGCCUUCGGGUUGUAAAGCACUUUCAGCGGGGAGGAAGGCGGUGAGGUUAAUAACCUCAUCGAUUGACGUUACCCGCAGAAGAAGCACCGGCUAACUCCGUGCCAGCAGCCGCGGUAAUACGGAGGGUGCAAGCGUUAAUCGGAAUUACUGGGCGUAAAGCGCACGCAGGCGGUCUGUCAAGUCGGAUGUGAAAUCCCCGGGCUCAACCUGGGAACUCCAUUCGAAACUGGCAGGCUAGAGUCUUGUAGAGGGGGGUAGAAUUCCAGGUGUAGCGGUGAAAUGCGUAGAGAUCUGGAGGAAUACCGGUGGCGAAGGCGGCCCCCUGGACAAAGACUGACGCUCAGGUGCGAAAGCGUGGGGAGCAAACAGGAUUAGAUACCCCAGUAGUC